UACGGGGGGGGCAAGCGUUGUUCGGAAUUACUGGGCGUAAAGGGUUCGUAGGUGGCUCGUUAAGUCAGACGUGAAAUCCCUCAGCUUAACUGGGGAACUGCGUCUGAGACUGAUGAGCUUGAGUGCAGGAGAGGAACGCGGAAUUCCAGGUGUAGCGGUGAAAUGCGUAGAUAUCUGGAGGAACACCGGUGGCGAAGGCGGCGUUCUGGACUGCAACUGACACUGAGGAACGAAAGCCAGGGGAGCAAACGGG
RNAcentral lists this ribosomal RNA (253 nucleotides) under uncultured bacterium. RNAcentral describes it as "partial 16S ribosomal RNA". It matches the Rfam family "Bacterial small subunit ribosomal RNA", at positions 524 to 776 of the family's 1533-position model. The record is from RNAcentral.